Molecule: long non-coding RNA, 1110 nt
Organism: Acanthochromis polyacanthus (spiny chromis)
Lineage: Eukaryota; Metazoa; Chordata; Actinopteri; Pomacentridae
Exons: 2
Source: RefSeq, a predicted model, not a curated record
GUCAUUCCCACUGUUGGCUGCAGAGUUUAUUUAGACUUGAAGAUGUAACUGAAGCUAGAGCUAGUUAAUCUGCUGUGGUUGGUUGAAUCUUCCUGUCACUUUCUAAGAGGAUGACCAGUAGGAAAAGAUGGCUAGAAGUAGGCGGUGUGUGUUUUUGUGCAUAGAACUGUAUGAUUUAGGAAUGGUACUGAGAUCUGUUCAGCAUCCAGGGAAGAAGAUGUCAGUUCUGGGAGGGAGUGCGUUUUGAAGGCAUUAUGCGUCUACUUCAACGAAGACCCUGACAGCCUGAUUAAAGAGCAUGUGGGAAACAGCAAAGCCAUCUUUGUGGACUACGCAGAAGACACCACUGUGGGAAUCUUCACUGCAAAACAACAUGAGGCCCAGUCCAAAGCAGAUGACAUCGGAAUCAUCCUGGAAGACCAAAUAGUCCUCCAAGAACUGGACAAUGUUCCACUGGCCCUCCUCUUUGGACUCCUGUAUGCCCUAAACAUGGACUAUCUCCUCAGCAGAAGUACGUUUUUUGAAGUGGUCCAAAUGGUGAUCAUGGAGCUUGAUGGGGGCAGCCUUUCCAAAAAAGCUCAGGUCCUGAAAAACGGACUUCUUGAAUACUGGUUUAUGAUGUUUGAUGUUUCCAUUUUGCACUGGCCUUUGGGCCUCAUGUUGUCUUGCAGUGUUUGUUUAAAAAAAGUUGCUAUUGAUAGGUUUAUGCAAUUGUUAUUCAAGUGUUUCACUUAACUGUGUUUAAAAAAAAAAAAAAGACAAGGUCGGUCUGGAUGGUCAGACUGUCUUUGUUCACAUGUUUAUUUCUUGUGGCUGUAAGUCACUCCAUAUUUGAAUGUAAUCCUAAUCCUACCUAAUAGUUGUGAAGUAUACUGGCUGAACACUUGGUUCAUAUUGUCUUAACAGAGAUGCAAACUUGACAUUUUAAAGGUUUUAACCAUGUUAUCUGAGGUCCCCAAAGGAGUGUUUUGAAGCCUCAAUUCUGCAUAUGUGCGCUUUAAGUUGAAUGUGGAAGGAGCACAUUUCUGUAGAUUAAAUGCAUUGUUUGAGAUGAAAUAUUUCACUGUUAAAACAGGUAAGAAAUAUUAAAUCAGCCUGUUUGAUGAUUGA